This is a long non-coding RNA of Ricinus communis (castor bean), 2437 nucleotides long. RefSeq lists it as uncharacterized. NCBI's taxonomy places the organism in Eukaryota, Viridiplantae, Streptophyta, Magnoliopsida, Malpighiales, Euphorbiaceae. The transcript has 3 exons. The record is from RefSeq and is a predicted model, not a curated record.
GAUUUAUAUCAAUUGUCAGGGUAUUAUUAUGGUGCCUGCCAGUGGCGCUUUUUUCGGGUAUUUAAAAUUUUGAAAAGAUAGCAGUUACUGAGAACCUUGAUAUUUUCACUCCACGCGUCCUUGGAAAGGUUUGUGAACCUUCAACGAGCGUCCUUUCUUUUUCUUAUUAGCAUAUUUUGGGUUGUGUACUUUUAUCAAAUUUAAGCAUUUUCUCUUUCAUCAUUUGGGUUUUCCUUUGGAUCUUUGUUCUCCCGAAAAUUCCUUUGCUGUCUGCUGUGUUCUAUCAUUCUCUAGUGACCGAAGUUGACGAUGUUCCUCUUUGUUCUUCGGUGGUCUUCUUUCACCGCGGUUGUUCCUCGGGGAAUUCCUGCACUUCAAUACUUUUAUCUUCGUCACCUUGUUUUUCUUGAGUAUCGUCAACAGUAAGUCCCUUGUUCUUUUUCCCCUUCUUUUUUGUAGCCAUGAGUGGGUGUGAGGAUAGCCAAACCAACUUUUAGGAAACAAGAGUCUCGCACUGCCGGUGGGGCGAGUAGUAUGAGUGUGAGUGUUACUUCGAACUUGUCUGGGAUAGAGAGAGGUUUUAAGCGAGUCAUGGCUUUAGUGCAAAAUCCAUUUGUUACAGAGCCUUUAGGGGAGAGUCUAGAGGGGUUAACGACGGUCCCUAGGUCAAAGAAAAGUGUUAGAGAGAUACCUUGUGGAUUGACUAAAGGGCAGAUGGAUCGCCUUCGCACCACCUUCAAGAUUCCUUAGGGAUAUACCUUUAGGUUACUAAACCAUGGGACUUUUACAGAUCAACCUUUGAGUGACUCCAAUAGGAUAUUGUAUGUGGAAGAUCUGAAGUCCAGUCUCCACUUUCCGAAAGACAAGCUAUAUGCCGAAGUUCUUAGGGAAUAUAAUAUUCCUCCGUGCCAACUGCGUCCGAACUCCUGGAAGGUGCUCUGUGGGCUCCAAAUUUUGGGCGAGGUUCACAGAUUCAGAUUCACUUGUAGGAUGGUUAGGGAGUUAUAUCCCUUGGUGUUUAAGAAGGGUUUCGACCACUUUAGUUUCUAGAGGGGGAGGAGGAUCAUUGAUCUUCCCCCUUCAAUCAAGAAUUGGAAACAAUUAUUUUUUAUAGUGUCUAAGAAGGGUUGGAGCGAUCUUCCAAAGGAGCGGGUGACCUGUCGAGCAUGAUUCUUGAGGAGGAGUUGCUCGAACUCUAUUCACGAGAGAGAGAAUACAUCGAGACAUUGUAUUAUGCGAGCCCUGUUUCUGGCAUUAAGCUCAUUCAAAUAUAUGAGACUUAGGAGCCUCUUCCUGAACAGAAAAAGAGAAAGAGAAAAAUUCAUAGAUCUCGAUCCCCUAACACAGAGAUGAAGUCCAUGGUAUAAUGUAUGAAGGAAUUGAAGGCACAAAAGAAUAAACAGCCUUCUGCCUCUUCGGUAUCAGGGGAAUCGAAGGGUCAUUCUCGGUGAAGGAGAACUUACAAAAAGUCUUAAAAGCUCCAUCACCUCUUGCCCUGAGGGUUGAGGAGAUAAAGUAAUAUUUGAGGCGGGGGGAGCUCACCCUUCUAAACGACUAAAGUUAACAGAGGAGAUUACUCAAAUUACUGAGGUGGUGGAGAAGAAGUAUAAAGAAAAUGCUUCAGUGAGGAACCCUUCUAUUGCCUCGGACGUCAUGUGGGCUCUCCAGUUACCCAAUGAUUCGGAAGUCUUUAACGAGCUUACUGAUGCGGAAAUCACUAGUAGUGCUCAUGGGCAUCUAGCUAUGGCCUCUUAAGCUGUCUUCGCUUUGCUUUAUCGAAUGCUAGAGUAUCGAGACUGGGUGAAAGGUGUUUGGCAGUCUGCCAAGGCGAAGUGGGAGGCGAAAGCUAAGGCCGAAUUUGAGAAGUUGAAGGCCAACCACCAAGCCUCUCUAGACAUAGAAAAACAGAAUCAUUUACCACACGAAUCUGUUUUGAAUGCCAAAAGAGAUUCCUUGGCUUUCGAGCCGGAGGAGGCAAAUGGGGUUGUGAAGAAAAGCCGACAGGAUACUCUUCAUCUUGAAGGAGAGCUCAGGAAGGAGAAGGCCGUCAUAGAGGGGCUCAAAGAAAAGUUGCUGGUCAAACUUAUCUCCUAUUAGGAGAAGGUAGCUGUUGAGGUUUGGAGGCGAUUCCCCAAGCCGGACCUGGAGUUUAUCGAUGAAAUAUAUCCCGACAAGGAUCCUGCUCCUGAAGUAGAAAGUGGUGAUCCUCUUUCGACUCCUAGCGGUGAUCUUGAGGCAUCCCCCCCUCUUCCUACCGUAGAUCUUCCAGCUCCUCCUCCUCCCCCCUAAGGCGAUCUUGUUACUCCUCUAGAAGUUGUUCUUUUUAUGAACAACUAUGUAAAAAGUAGUGUAGUGGACAACGUUCAGGAGUGAUUUGCUGGAGAUUUUCACCUUGUGUAAAUAAUUUUAUUUAGUCAAUAUGAUUUCUCUUUUCUUC